GGGCCCGCACAAGCGGAGGAACAUGUGGUUUAAUUCGAUGAUACGCGAGGAACCUUACCUGGGUUUAAAUGGGGAGUGACAGGCUUGGAAACAGGCUUUUCUUCGGACACUCUUCAAGGUGCUGCAUGGUUGUCGUCAGCUCGUGCCGUGAGGUGUCGGGUUAAGUCCCAUAACGAGCGCAACCCACGUCGUUAGUUGCCAUCAGGUCAUGCUGGGCACUCUAGCGAGACUGCCGGUGUAAACCGCGAGGAAGGUGUGGAUGACGUCAAAUCAGCACGGCCCUUACAUCCAGGGCUACACACGUGUUACAAUGGCCGGUACAGAGGGCUGCUACCAUGCGAAUGGAUGCUAAUCCUUAAAACCGGUCCCAGUUCGGAUUGGAGUCUGCAACCCGACUCCAUGAAGCUGGAUUCGCUAGUAAUCGCGCAUCAGCCAUGGCGCGGUGAAUACGUUCCCGGGCCUU
RNAcentral lists this ribosomal RNA (463 nucleotides) under uncultured bacterium. RNAcentral's name for it is "bacterial SSU rRNA". It matches the Rfam family "Bacterial small subunit ribosomal RNA", at positions 917 to 1382 of the family's 1533-position model. The record is from RNAcentral.